UACGUAGGGGGCAAGCGUUGUCCGGGAUCAUUGGGCGUAAAGAGCGUGUAGGCGGCCAGAUAAGUCCGCUGUGAAAUCUCGAGGCUCAACUUCGAGCUGUCGGUGGAAACUGUCUGGCUAGAGUCCGGAAGAGGAGAAUGGAAUUCCUGGUGUAGCGGUGAAAUGCGCAGAUAUCAGGAAGAACACCCGUGGCGAAGGCGGUUCUCUGGGACGGUACUGACGCUGAGACGCGAAAGCGUGGGGAGCGAACAGG
This 253-nucleotide ribosomal RNA is filed under the name uncultured bacterium. Its description in RNAcentral is "partial 16S ribosomal RNA". It matches the Rfam family "Bacterial small subunit ribosomal RNA", at positions 524 to 776 of the family's 1533-position model. The record is from RNAcentral.